GCACCAGUAGUGUAGUGGUAGAAUAGUACCCUGCCACAGUAUAGACCCGGGUUCGAUUCUUGACUGGUGCA
RNAcentral lists this transfer RNA (71 nucleotides) under Ipomoea nil (Japanese morning glory). It matches the Rfam family "tRNA". From Rfam's summary of the family: Transfer RNA (tRNA) molecules are approximately 80 nucleotides in length. Their secondary structure includes four short double-helical elements and three loops (D, anti-codon, and T loops). The record is from Rfam by way of RNAcentral. Lineage: Eukaryota; Viridiplantae; Streptophyta; Magnoliopsida; Solanales; Convolvulaceae.